Molecule: long non-coding RNA, 253 nt
Organism: Thunnus maccoyii (southern bluefin tuna)
Lineage: Eukaryota; Metazoa; Chordata; Actinopteri; Scombriformes; Scombridae
Exons: 2
Source: RefSeq, a predicted model, not a curated record
AUUAACAUUUUUAGAGAAGUGGUUGAAAGCUCCAGAAGAAGCUAGUAUAUGGCGUCUGAAGGGUUUUGCAGAGACAUGAAAGCUUCGAUCUCCACCACGGUGCGAGGCCUCCACCAACCAGAUGGGUUAGGGUUUGGUUUUGUUUUGUUUGCACAUACUUCACUCUUCCACACAUUGCAUUCAUUACUGACUGCUGACUAACAUUAUUAUAUUUUAUUUUAAGUUGACAAUAAAUGUCAUUUUAGAAGCUUUA